RNAcentral lists this unclassified non-coding RNA (335 nucleotides) under soil metagenome. RNAcentral describes it as "partial contains 5.8S ribosomal RNA, internal transcribed spacer 2, and large subunit ribosomal RNA". The stretch from base 1 to 120 matches the Rfam family "5.8S ribosomal RNA", at positions 35 to 154 of the family's 154-position model. The record is from RNAcentral.
GAUGAAGAACGCAGCGAAAUGCGAUAAGUAGUGUGAAUUGCAGAAUUCAGUGAAUCAUCGAAUCUUUGAACGCACAUUGCGCCCGCCAGUAUUCUGGCGGGCAUGCCUGUUCGAGCGUCAUUUCAACCAUCAAGCCCCCGGCUUGUGUUGGGGACCUGCGGCUGCCGCAGGCCCUGAAAACCAGUGGCGGGCUCGCUAGUCACUCCGAGCGUAGUAGUUACAUCUCGCUCAGGGCGUGCUGCGGGUUCCGGCCGUUAAAAGCCUUAUUUACCCAAGGUUGACCUCGGAUCAGGUAGGAAGACCCGCUGAACUUAAGCAUAUCAAUAAGCGGAGGA